CUACGGGCGGCACCAGUGGGGAAUUUUGGACAAUGGGCGCAAGCCUGAUCCAGCCAUUCCGCGUGCAGGAUGAAGGCCUUCGGGUUGUAAACUGCCUUUGUACGGAACGAAACGGUUCUCUCUAAUACAGGGGGCUAAUGACGGUACCGUAAGAAUAAGCACCGGCUAACUACGUGCCAGCAGCCGCGGUAAUACGGAGGGUGCAAGCGUUAAUCGGAAUUACUGGGCGUAAAGCGUGCGCAGGCGGUUAUGUAAGACAGAGGUGAAAUCCCCGGGCUCAACCUGGGAACUGCCUUUGUGACUGCAUAGCUAGAGUACGGCAGAGGGGGAGGGAAUUCCGCGUGUAGCAGUGAAAUGCGUAGAUAUGCGGAGGAACACCGAUGGCGAAGGCAAUCCCCUGGGCCUGUACUGACGCUCAUGCACGAAAGCGUGGGGAGCAAACAGGAUUAGAUACCCCUGUAGUC
This 464-nucleotide ribosomal RNA is filed under the name uncultured bacterium. RNAcentral describes it as "partial 16S ribosomal RNA". It matches the Rfam family "Bacterial small subunit ribosomal RNA", at positions 339 to 795 of the family's 1533-position model. The record is from RNAcentral.